Molecule: ribosomal RNA, 1130 nt
Filed under: Salmonella enterica subsp. enterica serovar Typhimurium
Lineage: Bacteria; Pseudomonadati; Pseudomonadota; Gammaproteobacteria; Enterobacterales; Enterobacteriaceae
Description: partial 23S ribosomal RNA
Rfam family: Bacterial large subunit ribosomal RNA
Source: RNAcentral
GUGAACUCCACAUCCGCAUCCUUUGCUGAGGAUACGGUUAACGGAGCGAAAGCGACGUUCAACCGCAAAACAAGCAGAGGGGGCUUAGUGGUGGGGUGACUGCGUACCUUUUGUAUAAUGGGUCAGCGACUUAUAUUCUGUAGCAAGGUUAACCGAAUAGGGGAGCCGGAGGGAAACCGAGUCUUAAUUGGGCGUUAAGUUGCAGGGUAUAGACCCGAAACCCGGUGAUCUAGCCAUGGGCAGGUUGAAGGUUGGGUAACACUAACUGGAGGACCGAACCGACUAAUGUUGAAAAAUUAGCGGAUGACCUGUGGCUGGGGGUGAAAGGCCAAUCAAACCGGGAGAUAGCUGGUUCUCCCCGAAAGCUAUUUAGGUAGCGCCUCGUGAAUUCAUCUCCGGGGGUAGAGCACUGUUUCGGCUAGGGGGCCAUCCCGGCUUACCAACCCGAUGCAAACUGCGAAUACCGGAGAAUGUUAUCACGGGAGACACACGGCGGGUGCUAACGUCCGUCGUGAAGAGGGAAACAACCCAGACCGCCAGCUAAGGUCCCAAAGUCAUGGUUAAGUGGGAAACGAUGUGGGAAGGCCCAGACAGCCAGGAUGUUGGCUUAGAAGCAGCCAUCAUUUAAAGAAAGCGUAAUAGCUCACUGGUCGAGUCGGCCUGCGCGGAAGAUGUAACGGGGCUAAACCAUGCACCGAAGCUGCGGCAGCGAACGUAUCACCCAAGACAACUUUACGGAGUUGACGAUUGACGGAGCGAAGCGACGUCAAAGCGUUCAUUAAAGUCGAGUUGGCUUAGGGAUACGUUCGUUGGGUAGGGGAGCGUUCUGUAAGCCUGUGAAGGUGUGUCGUGAGGCAUGCUGGAGGUAUCAGAAGUGCGAAUGCUGACAUAAGUAACGAUAAAGCGGGUGAAAAGCCCGCUCGCCGGAAGACCAAGGGUUCCUGUCCAACGUUAAUCGGGGCAGGGUGAGUCGACCCCUAAGGCGAGGCCGAAAGGCGUAGUCGAUGGGAAACGGGUUAAUAUUCCCGUACUUGGUGUUACUGCGAAGGGGGGACGGAGAAGGCUAUGUUGGCCGGGCGACGGUUGUCCCGGUUUAAGCGUGUAGGUGUGUGUUCCAGGUAAAUCCGGUU